ACAAAUAUUUGGGGUUUUCGGGCUUCCUGAAGGUAAUACCCGGGUAUAAGGUUAUGGGGCUAGGGUAAGGUUUAAGGUUUUUGGCGUUAGGGUUAAAAUCACUGUCCAAAACCUUUGUAGGAACUCUUUUCCAACCUUUUGGAGUUAGUUAGACCAAAAAAAAAAGAAAAAAGAAAAAAAAAAUUGGGGGGUUUUCGGGCUUCCAGAAGGUAAUACCCGGGUAUUAGGUUACUGGGCUAGCUUUGUAGGAACUCUUUUCCAACCUUUUGGAGUUAGUUAGACCAAAAAAAAAUGUGAUUUUAACCCUCACGCCAAAACCCUUAAACCUUACCCUAGCCCCAAAACCUAAUACCCAGGUAUUACCUUCAGGAGCCCGACAACCCCCAAUAUUUUUUUUUUCAUUUUUCAUUUUUUUUUGGUCUAACAAACUCCAAAAGGUUGGAAAAAAGUUCCUACAAAGGUUUUGGACAGAGAUUUUAACCGUAUCUUCAAAAACCUUAAACCUUACCAUAGCCACACAACCUAAUACCCGAGAAUUACCUUCAGGAAGCCCAAAAACCCCAAAUAUUUUUUUUUCAAUUUUUGUUAUUUUUUGGUCAAACUAACUCCAAAAGCUUGGAAAAGAGUUCCUACAAAGGUUUUGGAAAGUGAUUUUAACACUAACAUCAAAACCUUAAACCUUACCAUAGCCCCAUAACCUUAUAAUAGUAUUACCUUCAGGAAGCCCGAAAACCCCAAAUAUAUAUAUAUUUUUUUUCUUUUUUUUUUGUUUAACUAACUCCAAAAGGUCUGAAACAUGUUUCCACAAAGGUUUUGGACAGUGAUUUUAACCCUAACGCUAAAAAGCUUAAAGGGGACCUGCCAUAAAAAUGUAAUUUUGGGGGUUUUUUGUGUCAUAUAAGGUCCAUAUUAUGUUCGUCUUAUGUUGUACAUGUGAAAACAAACCGUUACGUCGUUUGCAUUCUGUAAAGGUUUAAAAUCAAGGAACGAGUAAACCAGGCCAAUUGAAAAAGCCCGUCGGUGUUACGUUGCGCCGACCUUGCUCAUUAUUAUUCACGAGCGCGUCCUCGGUGAGCCGCGCCCACUCUCUCGUUCUCGUACUCAGUCACAGCCAGAGCGAGACCCAGCUACCGCUGUAUCCGCUAUGGGUCUCUUCCAAACGAUCGGUGUUUCCUUCGGUUCACUACCGGGAAAAUGAACUUAAAGCCGGGCAGAAUGAAUGAGAAAACACCGCUGGAGAUCUCCGGCUUCUUCCUCAACUUCCACCUCCUCUUCGGACUCGGGGUCUAAAAUAUAUGGUUUAAUACCUGCCGUUUUUAGCCUUUAGCAUAAGGUGACCAGACGUCCCCGAUUUCCGGGGACAGUCCCCGUAUUGGAUGAUCUGUCCCCGGCAAAAGCUGUCCCCGAAAAUGUCCCCGAUUUAAGCAUUUCAUUAAUGAGAGCAAAAAUGUUGUGUGUGGGCUCGAACAACGGUUAUUACAGUAGCCGAAUUUAGUUAGCAGUCCUGAACAACAGUUCUUACGGGGGUUAUUACAAGGGGCAUGCGCUGCUACUAAAUAGUACCGAGACUUUGUCUGUGAUCACACAGCCCCUGCAGCCCCUGCACCACCGCCGCCGCACCGAAUAUCCCCGGAUAUCAUUACAGACAUCUGGGCACCUUACUUUAGCACACAUUAGCAUAUGCUAUUAGCAUUAGCAUAAUAACAGUGGAUAAACCGAAAUACGAACCUCCACUGCUGAGCCAAUCAGAGCACAGCAGGCUUCACAGCAGCGAUCCAAUCAGAGCAAAGCUCAUUACCAUAAAUGUUAAUGAGCCAAAACCAGUUGGUUUUCCUGUAAGGUUUUUUAGGCAUACUAAAACAAACCAUCAAAUAACUUUUCAGCUAAAAUUAUGUUGCAAACAUGAUCAGAGGACAUCAAGGAUUAUGAAAAAUUGAUAAAAAUGGGUAUGAAAUUUUGGUGGCAGGUCCCCUUUAAACCUUACCCUAUCCCCGAACCUAAUACCCGGGUAUUACCUUAAGGAGGCCUUCACACCCCAAACAAAUUUUUUUUCAUUUUUCAUUUUUUUUUUUUUGGUCUAGCUAACUUCAAAAGGUUGGAAUAGAGUUCCUACAAAGGUUUUGGACAGUGAUUUUAACCCUAAUGCCAAAAACCUUUAACCUUACCCUAGCCCUGUAAUAUAAUAUAUACAUAAUUUUGCUCUACAAACACAUAGUCUAAAAGAUAGACAGCAUAGCAUACCAAUUGAGCUGAGUCAUUAAACUUCCUACCAACACAUAAUUUUUACACACAGAUUGAGCUUGGAGACUUGACUGGGAACAUGUGAUAUGUCGACAUGCGCCAGCCAGUGCAAGCCCUUGAUCAGCCUACCCCAAACCGCCAAGUCAACUGACGAAAGCAGGGGCUAUCACUGUAUCUCUUUCCCACACCUAACCAGCCAGUUGCCUUCGGACAGACUUGUCACAAUAUCAUUCCGAGAAUAGUCUGAGCCCAUGCUCCUUCUGUGCACACAACCUCUCACCCCCGCCCCCCCCUCCCCCCCCUUUAUAGAAUCUAAGAUCUUCCAGGUUCAAGGGUGAGAGUGAAUUCCAAAGAAUCCUCCACUUUGGAACCUAUACUAACACUACAUUCCACAGAUAACUAAACAAAAAACAUCUAAACCCUAACAGCAAUGACGAAAAGAUAAAUACUUUUCAAGACAAAUUAACUCCUGACCCCACCCUGCCCCCCUCCUUUUCUCCCUCUCUCCUGAUCUGUACCUCUCUCUCCUAUCAGAGGAUGCGAACCAGCAGGUGAGGAGAGUCUCAAUGGCGAGUCACGGUGGCAAGAUCUAUUCUCUUUCCAUCACUCGAAUCCCUUCAUGAGCAGAAUGGUGCCAGACGGACCACCUGCUCCCACCACAAUCCUCUGUGACUUUUUGACUCUGUCCACUUUUAGAACUUAAAAUAGUAAUCAAUAAUCAACUGACCAACUCAGCUCAAACCAAACCCAAAACUCUGCCUAGAGAACUCUCACUUCCACGUUUACAUACCUCUUUGUAUCUUGUGAGGACCGUGAGGAGAGCAGAGCCUAGACCUAGUCGGGUCGGGGGACUAUGUCCCUUGCUCACUCUCCUCACAUGGAUGGUGAGAGCUGGGGAGCUAUGGGAUGUUUCAUCCACCACCAAAUCCCCCUCACCAAUCUUUAUUUUCCACCAUCUCCACCUCUCCCUUAAACCCCCUCUCCCUUUUCCCUUCUCUCUCUCUCUCUCUCUAACACACACACACACACACACACACACACACACCCCUCUCUCUCUCUCUCUCUCUCUCUCUCUCUCUCUCCCUCAUCUCUCUCCCUCAUCUCUCCCCCUCUCUCUAACACCCCCCCUUUCUUAUUCCCUCCCCUGCCCCUUUAUUUUCACCUUCACAGAGGACAAAUAGGUGAUCUUCAGCCUAGGCCGGGGGGUAACCCCUGUUGGGUCACCUAUAUGGAGGAUUAAGAGAGACCUGAAGGGGAACCGCCGUGCCGCCUAAAUCCUCCCCCUCUAACAUCUUUUUUAACACUCUAAAAUUAGCCAGCUAACCCCACUACAAACAACUUCAUCAAAAAUUUAAAUAAUAAAUACUUAUCAAUAACUGACCAUCAGUGACACCAGACUAAGUUAGCAAAAAAGAACACACACACACACGUACAGAUUUUCCCUUAGGACAAUGAUCAGAUUUACAUUUCUGUCUUUCUUUUAGGGAACUGUUCUCUGUUUUUAAGCUCACUUCUGAUUUUUGCUAUUUGCUCUUGACACUUCUUUUUUUUCUUUUUUCUUCCCCUUUCCCUUUUGCAAUCCACUUUUGUUCUUCUUUUAUUUUUUUAUUUUUUCAUUGUUUUAUAUUAUUUUAUUUUAUUUUAUUUUAUUUUAGGGUUCCUGUGCUUUUGUUUUUCUUCCCCCCUCCCCUCUUUUUUCUUAGGAAGGACUGACUCCUGAGGUUCUCAUGCCAGGAAAAAUGUACCUCCCUCACUCACAGUUUUACCUACAAUCCUUUGCUGCAACAGGGAGAUUGAUUCCCAAGGCUCUCAUGCCAGAAAGGAAGUACCUCACUCACUCACGGUUUUACCCGCAAUCCUUUGCUGUAACAGGAAGAUUGAUUCCUUAGGCUCUCAUCCCUCAGAACUAAAAUACCCACAAUCCCUUGCGAUUGCAUACAAAUUUAAUGUAGCAAAACUCAAUUUAAAACAAUAAACUACAUUAAAAUUAACUUAAAACAACUUGAAAGUUUAAAAUACAACCAAGAGACAUCCAUUCUGGAAUACAAACAUCGAGAAGAGAACACAACCAUGUCUGAGAGGAACAGCACAAACCAUGACUCGAGCCCAACUCUGGGGAUGUCUUCUCCUUUCAAAAGCACAUUUAAGUGCAGUGCACUAAAGAGCAAUUCCUGUUCCUGUAAUUGAGACAAAGCACUGACCACUGGACCAAGAAGACGGACCACCAUCGAGGAAGACGCCGUACCUCCAUCACUCCAAGCCGCCCACCACCGAGCUUCGACCCGCCGACGGCACCGAGUCCCAGCAAACCUUCCCACAGAGGACCCCGGACUUCAGACACACCGCUGCCGCCGCGGCUGGACAGCUGGAACCUUUUCCCCCCUCCAACAGAUUUCAGACUACUGGAAAAGAAACGCCUAACAUCAACAACAACUUAGGACCACUAGGGUAAGUCUACAAAAAACCUCUCAAACACCUCAAAAUUAUUCUAAAUAGUUAGUUUUGUUUGUUGAACUUGAGUUUGUGUCGUUUUUGAACUUGAGUUUAUUAUGUUUUUUGAACUUGAGGUUCUGGUGUUUUUGAACUUAAGUUUGUGGAAAUUGUUGAACUUGAGGAUCGGGUGUUGCUUGAACUUGACUUGUUGUGUUUGUUGAACUUGAGUUUGUGUCGUUUUUGAACUUGAGUUUGUGUGGUGUUUUUGAACUUGAGUUUGUGGUGUUUUUGAACUUGAGUUUGUGUCGUGUUUGAAGUUUGUGGCAACUUAUGAACUGGAGUUUGUUUGGCUUGAUUUUUUGGCAAUUGUUGAACUUGAGUCUGUAUUUUUCCCUGAACUUUAGUUGGUGGCAAUUGUUGAACUUGAGUUUGUGGCAUUUGUUGAACUUGAGUUUGUGGUGUUUGUUGAACCUGAGUUUGUGAAGUGUUUGAACUUGAGUUUGUGUUUUUUUUAACUUAAGGUUGUGGCAAUUGUUAAACUUGAGAAUCGAGUGUUGGUUGAACUUGAGUUUGUGGUGUUCAUUGAACUUGAGUUUGUGGCAUAUUUGAACUUGAGUUUAUUAUGUUUUUUGAACUUGAGGUUCUGGUGUUUUUGAACUUAAGUUUGUGGAAAUUGUUGAACUUGAGGAUCGGGUGUUGCUUGAACUUGACUUGUUGUGUUUGUUGAACUUGAGUUUGUGUCGUUUUUGAACUUGAGUUUGUGUGGUGUUUUUGAACUUGAGUUUGUGAAGUGUUUGAACUUGAGUUUGUGGCGUGUUUGAACUUGAGUUUGUGGUGUUUUUUGAACUUGAGGUUGUGGAAAUUGUUAAACCUGAGAAUCGGGUGUUGGUUGAACUUGAGUUUGUUUGUUUUUUGAACUUGAGUUUGUGUCGUGUAUGAACUUGAGUUUGUGGUGUUUUUUGAAUUGAGGUUGUGGCGUGUUUGAACUUGAGUUUGUGUGUUUUUUGAACUGGAGGUUGUGGAAAUUGUUAAACUUGAGAAUUGGGUGUUGUUUAAACUUGAGUUUGUGGUGUUUUUUGAACUUGAAUUUGUGAUGUGUUUGAACUUGAGUUUGUGGUGUUUUUGAACUUAAGGUUGUGGCAAUUGUUAAACUUGAGAAUUGGGUAUUGGUUGAACUUGGAUUUGUGUGUUUUUUUAAAUUUGAGUUUGUGGCGUGUUUGAAAAUGAGUAUGUGGCGUGUUUGAACUUGAGUUUGUGUUGUUUUUGAACUAGAGGUUGUGGCAAUUGCUAAACUUGAGAUUUGGGUGUUGGUUGAACUUGAGUUUGUGUUGUUUUUUGAACUUGAGUUUGUGUCGUGUUUGAACUUGAGUUUGUGGUGUUUUUUGAACUUGAGGUUGUGGAAAUUGUUAAACCUGAGAAUCAGGUGUUGGUUGAACUUGAGUUUGUGGUGUUUUUUGAACUUGAGUUUGUGUCGUGUAUGAACUUGAGUUUGUGGUGUUUUUUGAAUUGAGGUUGUGGCGUGUUUGAACUUGAGUUUGUGUGUUUUUUGAACUGGAGGUUGUGGAAAUUGUUAAACUUGAGAAUUGGGUGUUGUUUAAACUUGAGUUUGUGGUGUUUUUUGAACUUGAAUUUGUGAUGUGUUUGAUCUUGAGUUUGUGGUGUUUUUGAACUUGAGUUUGUGUCGUGUUUGAACUUGAGUUUGUGGUGUUUUUGAACUUGAGUUUGUGUCGUAUUUGAACUUGAGUUUGUGGCGUGUUUGAACUUGAGUAUCUGUUGUCUUUGAACUUGAGGUUGUGGCAAUUGUUAAAGUUGAGGUUUGGGUGUUGGUUGAUCUUGAGUUUGUGGUGUUUUUUGAACUUGAGUUUGUGUCGUGUUUGAAUUUCAGUUUGUGUGUUUUUUUAUCUUAAGUUUGUGGCAAUUUAUGAACUUGAGUUUGUUGAACUUGAGUUUGUGGUCUUUGUUCAACUUGAGUUUGUGGUUUUUAGUGAUCUCUAGUUGGUGGCAUCUUUGAACUUGAGUUUGUGGCAUUUGUUGAACUUGAAUUUGUGAUGUGUUUGAACUUGAGUUUGUGGCAUUUGUUGAACUUGAGUUUGUGUCGUGUUUGAACUUGAGUUUGUGGUGUUUUUGAACUUGAGUUUGUGUCGUAUUUGAACUUGAGUUUGUGGCGUGUUUGAACUUGAGUAUCUGUUGUCUUUGAACUUGAGGUUGUGGCAAUUGUUAAAGUUGAGGUUUGGGUGUUGGUUGAUCUUGAGUUUGUGUCUUUUUUGAACUUUUGUUUUUGGAUUUUUUGAAUUAGAGUUUGUGUGUUUUUUGAACAUAAGUUUGUGGCAACUUAUGAACUUGAGUAUGUUGAGAUAAAGUUUGUGGCAAAUGUUGCACUUGAGUUUGUGGUUUUUUUUAACUUGAGUUUGUGUCGUGUUUGCACUCUAGGUUGUGGUGUUUUUGAACUUAAGUCUGUGGUUUUUAGUGAACUUUAGUUGGUGACAAUUGUUGAACUUGAUUUUGAGUUUGUAGCUUAUUUGAAUUUGAGGUUGUUGCAAUUUUUAAACUUGAGAUUUGGGUGUUGGUUUUCACAUUUAUUGAACUUUAGUAUGUGAUGUUCGUUGAACUUGAGUUUGUGUGUUUUUUGAACUUGAGUAUGUGUGUUUGUUGAACUUGAGUUUGUGGUGUUUUUUGAACUUGAGAUUGUGGUUUUUUUUAACUUGAGUUUGUGUUUUUCUAGAACUUGAGUUUUUGACAUGUUUUAAUUUGAGGUUGUUGCAAUUCUUAAACUUGAGAUUUGGGUGUUGGUUGAACUUAAAUUUUUCACAUUUAUUGAACUGGAGUUUGUGGUGUUUGUUGAACUUGAGUUUGUAUCGUGUUUGAAAUUAAGUUUGUGGUGUUUUUGAAAUUGAGUUUGUGUGUUUUUGAACUUGAGUUUGUGGUGUUUUUGAACUUCAGUUUGUGGCACUUUUUUAACUUGAGUUUGUUGAACUUUAGUUUUUGGCAAUUGUUAAAUGUGAGUUUAGGUCAUUUGUUGAAUUUGAAAUUUUGGCAUUUUUUGAACUUAAGAUUGUGGUGUUUGUUGAACUUGAGUUUGUGGCAAUUGUUGAACUUGAGUCUGUAUAUUUCCCUGCACUUUAGUUGGUGGCAAUUGUUUAACUUGAGUUUGUGGCGUUUGUUGUACUUGAGUUUGUGGCGUGUUUGAACUUGAGUUUCUGUUGGUUUUUUGAACUUGAGGUUGUGGAAAUUGUUAAACUUGAGACUUGGGAUUUGGUUGAACUUGAGUUUGUGUCGUGUUUGAACUUGAGUUUGUGCAGGUUUGAACUUGAGUUACUGUUGUUUUUUAACUUGAGGUUGUGGCAAUUGUUAAACUUAAGAUUUGGGUGCUGGUUGAACUUGAGUUUGUGUCCUGUUUGAACUUGAGUUUGUUUGUUUGUCUAACUUGAGUUUGUGGCGUGUUUUAACUUGAAUUUUUGUUGUUUUUUAACUUGAGUUUUUGAAAUUGUUUAACUUGAGAAUUGGGUAUUGAUUGAACUUGAGUUCGUGUGUUUGUUGAACUUGAGUUUGUGGCGUGUUUGAACUUGAGUUUGUAUAUUUCCCUGAACUUUAGUUGGUGGCAAUUGUUUAACUUGAGUUUGUGGCGUUUGUUGUACUUGAGUUUGUGCAGGUUUGAACUUGAGUUACUGUUGUUUUUUAACUUGAGGUUGUGGCAAUUGUUAAACUUAAGAUUUGGGUGCUGGUUGAACUUGAGUUUGUGUCCUGUUUGAACUUGAGUUUGUUUGUUUGUCUAACUUGAGUUUGUGGCGUGUUUUAACUUGAAUUUUUGUUGUUUUUUUAACUUGAGUUUUUGGCAAUUGUUAAUCUUUAGAUUUGGGUGUUGGUUGAACUUAAAACUUUGACAUUUGUUGAACUUGACUUUGUGGUGUUCAUUUAACUUGAGUUUGUGUCUUGUUUGAACUUGACUCUUUGGUGUUUUUGAACUUGAGUUUGUGUUUCUUGUUUGAACUUGAGUCUUUGGUGUUUUUGAACUUUAGUUUGUGGCGUGUUUAAACUUGAGUUUCUGUUGUUUUUGAACUUGAGGUUUUUGAAAUUGUUUAACUUGAGUUUGUGGUGUGUUUUAACCUGAGUUUCUGUUUUUUUUAACUUGAGGUUUUGGCAAUUGGCAAACUUGAGAUUUGGGAUCUGGUUGAACUUGAGUUUGUGUCGUGUUUUAAACUGAAUUUUUGUUAUUUUUCUAACUUGAAGUUGUGGCAAUCGUUAAACUUAAGAUUUGGGUGUUAGUUGAACUUGAGUUUGUGUCCUGUUUGAACUUGAGUUUGUUUGUUUGGCUAACUUGAGUUUGUGGCAUGUUUUCACUUGAAUUAUUGUUGUUUUUUAACUUGAGGUUUUGGCAAUUGUUAAUCUUUAGAUUUGGGUGUUGGUUGAACUUAAAACUUUGACAUUUGUUGAACUUGACUUAGUGGUGUUCAUUUAACUUGAGUUUGUGGUGUUUUUGAAUGAGUUUCUGUUGUCUUUGAACUUGAAGUUGUUACAAUUGUUAAACUUGAGAUUUGGGUGUUGGUUGAACUUCAGAUUCGGCAUUUUUGAACUUGAUUUUGUGGUGUUUUUGAACUUGAAUUUGUGUGUUUUUUGAAUUUGAGUUUGUUGCAAUUUUUAAACUUAAGUUUGUGGCGUUUGUUGUACUUGAGUUUGUGUCGUGUUUGAACUUGAGUUUGUGUUGUGUUUGAACUUGAGAUACUGUUGUUUUUUAACUUGAGGUUGUGGCAAUUUUUAAACUAUAGAUUUGGGUGUUGGUUUAACUUGAGUUUGUGGUGUUAUUGAACUUGAGUUUGUGGCGUUUGUUGAACUUGAGUUUGUGGCGUGUUUCGACUUUAAUUUUUUUUUUUUUAACUUGAGGAUUUUGGCAAUUGUUAAACUUUAGAUUUGGGUGUUGGUUGAACUUAAAACUUUGACAUUUGUUGAACUUGAGUUUGUGGUGUUCAUUUAACUUGAGUUUUGGUCUUGUUUGAACUUGACUUUUUGGUGUUUUUGAACUUGAGUUUGUGUGGUUUCUGAACUUAAGUUUGUGGCAAUUGUUAAACUUGAGAUUUGUGUGUUGGUUGAACUUGAGUUUGUGGUGUUUUUGAACUUGAAUUUGUGUGUUUGUUUAACUUGAGUUUGUGGCAUGUUUUAACUUGAGUUUGUGCUGUUUUUGAACUUGAGUUUGUGUGUUUUUUCAACUUGUGUUUGUGUGUUUUUUUUAACUUAAGUUUGUGGCAAUUGUUAAACUUGAGUUUGUGUGUUUUUUGAACUUGAGUUUGUGGUGUUUUUGAACUUGAGUUUGUGUGUUUUUUGAACUUAAGUUUGUGGCAAUUGUUAAAUUUGAGAUUUGGGUUUUGGUUGAACUUGAGUUUAUGGUGUUUUUGAACUUGAGUUUGUGUGUUUUUUGAACCUAAGUUUCUGGUGUUUUUGAACUUGAGUUUGUGUGUUUUUUGAAAUUGAGUUUGUUGCAAUUGUUAAACUUAGAUUUGUGUGUUGGUUGAACUUGAGUUUUUGGUGUUUUUGAACUUGAGUUUGUGGCGUGUUUUAACUUGAGCUUCUUUUUUUAUUUUUAACUUAAGUUUUUGUGAUUUUUGAACUUGAGUUUGUGGUGUUUUUGAACUUGAGUUUGUGUGUUUUUUGAACUUGAGUUUGUGGUGUUUUUGAACUUGAGUUUGUGUGUUUUUUGAAAUUGAGUUUGUGGCAAUUGUUAAACUUGAGAUUUGUGUGUUGGUUGAACUUGAGUUUGUGGUGUUUUUGAACUUGAAUUUGUGGCGUGUUUUAACUUGAGUUUCUGUUUUUUUUUUAACUUAAGUUUUUGUGUUUUUUGAACCUGAGUUUGUGGUGUUUUGAACUUGAGUUUGUGGCAAUUGUUAAACUUGAGUUUGUGUGUUUUUCGAACUGAAGUUUGGGGCAAUUGUUAAACUUGAGUUUGUGUGUUUGUUGAACUUGAGUUUGUGGUGUUUUUGAACUUGAGUUUGUGUGUUUUUUGAACCUGAGUUUCUGGUGUUUUUGAACUUGAGUUUGUGUGUUUUUUGAAAUUGAGUUUGUUGCAAUUGUUUAACUUAGAUUUGUGUGUUGGUUGAACUUGAGUUUUUGGUGUUUUUGAACUUGAGUUUGUGGCGUGUUUUAACUUGAGCUUCUUUUUUUUAUUUUUAACUUAAGUUUUUGUGAUUUUUGAACUUGAGUUUGUGGUGUUUUUGAACUUGAGUUUGUGGUGUUUUUGAACUUGAGUUUGUGUGUUUUUUGAACCUGAGUUUGUGGUGUUUUUGAACUUGAGUUUGUGUGUUUUUCGAACUUGAGUUUGUGGCAAUUGUUAAACUUGAGUUUGUGUGUUUUUCGAACCUGAGUUUCUGGUGUUUUUGAACUUGAGUUUGUGUGUUUUUUGAAAUUGAGUUUGUUGCAAUUGUUAAACUUAGAUUUGUGUGUUGGUUGAACUUGAGUUUUUGGUGUUUUUGAACUUGAGUUUGUGGCGUGUUUUAACUUGAGUUUCUUUUUUUUAUUUUUAACUUAAGUUUUUGUGAUUUUUGAACUUGAGUUUGUGGUGUUUUUGAACUUGAGUUUGUGUGUUUUUUGAACUUGAGUUUGUGGUGUUUUUGAACUUGAGUUUGUGUGUUUUUUGAAAUUGAGUUUGUGGCAAUUGUUAAACUUGAGAUUUGUGUGUUGGUUGAACUUGAGUUUGUGGUGUUUUUGAACUUGAGUUUGUGGCGUGUUUUAACUUGAGUUUCUGUUUUUUUUUUAACUUAAGUUUUUGUGAUUUUUGAACUUGAGUUUGUGGUGUUUUGAACUUGAGUUUGUGUGUUUUUUGAACCUGAGUUUCUGGUGUUUUUGAACUUGAGUUUGUGGCAAUUGUUAAACUUGAGUUUGUGUGUUUUUCGAACUGAAGUUUGGGGCAAUUGUUAAACUUGAGUUUGUGUGUUUUUUGAACUUGAGUUUGUGGUGUUUUUGAACUUGAGUUUGUGUGUUUUUUGAACCUGAGUUUCUGGUGUUUUUGAACUUGAGUUUGUGUGUUUUUUGAAAUUGAGUUUGUUGCAAUUGUUAAACUUAGAUUUGUGUGUUGGUUGAACUUGAGUUUUUGGUGUUUUUGAACUUGAGUUUGUGGCGUGUUUUAACUUGAGUUUCUUUUUUUUAUUUUUAACUUAAGUUUUUGUGAUUUUUGAACUUGAGUUUGUGGUGUUUUUGAACUUGAGUUUUUUUUUCGUUUUUUGAACCUGAGUUUGUGGUGUUUUUGAACUUGAGUUUGUGUGUUUUUCGAACUUGAGUUUGUGGCAAUUGUUAAACUUGAGUUUGUGUGUUUUUCGAACUUAAGUUUGUGGCAAUUGUUAAACUUGAGUUUGUGUGUUUUUUGAACUUGAGUUUGUGGUGUUUUUGAACUUGAGUUUGUGUGUUUUUCGAACUUGAGUUUGUGGCAAUUGUUAAACCUGAGUUUGUGUGUUUUUCGAACUUAAGUUUGUGGCAAUUGUUAAACUUGAGUUUGUGUGUUUUUUGAACUUGAGUUUGUGGUGUUUUUAAACUUGAGUUUGUGUGUUUUUCGAACUUAAGUUUGUGGCAAUUGUCAAACUUGAGAUUUGGGUGUUUUUUGAACUUGAGUUUGUAGUGUUUUUGAACUUGAGUUUGUGUGUUUGUUUAACUUGAGUUUGUGGUGUGUUUUAACCUGAGUUUCUGUUCUUUUUAACUUGAGGUUGUGGCAAUUGUCAAACUUGAGAUUUGGGAUCUGGUUGAACUUGAGUUUGUGUCGUGUUUGAACUUGAGUUUGUGGUGUUUUUGAACUUGAGUUUGUGGCGUGUUUUAACCUGAAUUUUUGUUAUUUUUCUAACUUGAAGUUGUGGCAAUCGUUAAACUUAAGAUUUGGGUGUUAGUUAAACUUGAGUUUGUGUCGUGUUUGAACUUGAGUUUGUUUGUUUGGCUAACUUGAGUUUGUGGCAUGUUUUCACUUGAAUUAUUGUUGUUUUUUAACUUGAGGAUUUGGCAAUUGUUAAUCUUUAGAUUUGGGUGUUGGUUGAACUUAAAACUUUGACAUUUGUUGAACUUGACUUUGUGGUGUUCAUUUAACUUGAGUUUGUGGUGUUUUUGAACUUGAAUUUUUGUGUUUUUUUAACUUGUGUUUGUGGUGUUUUUGAAUUUGAGUUUCUGUUGUCUUUGAACUUGAAGUUGUUGCAAUUGUUAAACUUGAGAUUUGGGUGUUGGUUGAACUUCGGAUUCGGCAUUUUUGAACUUGAGUUUGUGGUGUUUUUGAACUUGAAUUUGUGUGUUUUUUGAAUUUGAGUUUGUUGCAAUUUUUGAACUUGAGUUUGUGGCGUUUGUUGUACUUGAGUUUGUGUCGUGUUUGAACUUGAGUUUGUGUUGUGUUUGAACUUGAGAUACUGUUGUUUUUUAACUUGAGGUUGUGGCAAUUUUUAAACUAUAGAUUUGGGUGUUGGUUUAACUUGAGUAUGUGGUGUUUUUGAACUUGAGUUUGUGGCGUUUGUUGAACUUGAGUUUGUGGCGUGUUUCAACUUUAAUUUUUUUUUUUUAACUUGAGGAUUUUGGCAAUUGUUAAACUUUAGAUUUGGGUGUUGGUUGAACUUAAAACUUUGACAUUUGUUGAACUUGAGUUUGUGGUGUUCAUUUAACUUGAGUUUUGGUCUUGUUUGAACUUGACUUUUUGGUGUUUUUGAACUUGAGUUUGUGUGUUUUCUGAACUUAAGUUUGUGGCAAUUGUUAAACUUGAGAUUUGUGUGUUGGUUGAACUUGAGUUUGUGGUGUUUUUGAACUUGAAUUUGUGUGUUUGUUUAACUUGAGUUUGUGGCAUGUUUUAACUUGAGUUUGUGCUGUUUUUGAACUUGAGUUUGUGUGUUUUUUCAACUUGUGUUUGUGUGUUUUUUUAACUUAAGUUUGUGGCUAUUGUUAAACUUGAGUUUGUGUGUUUUUUGAACUUAAGUUUGUGGCAAUUGUUAAAUUUGAGAUUUGGGUUUUGGUUGAACUUGAGUUUAUGGUGUUUUUGAACUUGAGUUUAUGUGUUUGUUUAACUUGAGUUUGUGGCAUGUUUUAACUUUAGUUUCUUGUUGUUUUUUAACUUGAGGUUGUGGCAGUUGUCAAACUUGAGAUUUGGGAUUUGGUUGAACUUGAGUUUGUGUUGUGUUUGAACUUGAGUUUGUGGCGUUUGUUGAACUUGAGUUUGUGGCGUGUUUUAACCUGAAUUUUUGUUGUUUUUCUAACUUGAGGUUUUGGCAAUUGUUAAUCUUAAGAUUUGGGUGUUGGUUGAACUUAAAACUUUGACAUUUGUUGAACUUGACUUUGUGGUGUUCAUUUAACUUGAGUUUGUGUCUUGUUUGAACUUGACUUUGUGGUGUUUUUGAACUUGAGUUGGUGGUGUUUUUGAACUCGAGUUUGCGGAAAUUGUUGAAUUUGAGAAUUGGGUGUUGGUUGAACUUGAGUUUGUGGCGUGUUUUAACUUGAUUUGUGUUGUUUUUGAACUUGAGGUUGUGGAAAUUGUUAAACUCGCCCUCCUUGAGCCAUCAUGAAGGCGGCUGUGGCGGGGGUAGAGCAGCAAUGAACAGAAUCCCUCCGGAACAGGAGCGCUUCAAGGGUAGCGGAGCAAUUAGCUGGCACGAGGGUGGAGCUGGGGUGGCAGUGUGUUGCUUGUUUGCGGUCAGAAUAGAGGAAGAGGCUGUGUUAGUGCAGUUUUAA
Molecule: long non-coding RNA, 14343 nt
Filed under: Xyrichtys novacula (pearly razorfish)
Lineage: Eukaryota; Metazoa; Chordata; Actinopteri; Labriformes; Labridae
Source: RNAcentral